This 3621-nucleotide long non-coding RNA is filed under the name Lactuca sativa (garden lettuce). RNAcentral's name for it is "long non-coding RNA (LSAT_LNC010231)". The record is from RNAcentral. Lineage: Eukaryota; Viridiplantae; Streptophyta; Magnoliopsida; Asterales; Asteraceae.
AGGAAAGUUACAGACUUCGGUGAUGCUCGUGAGGUCUUUAACUUCCUGUUUCUCGUUAAUUACAUGGGCCAAGAAUGAAAUUCACUCCUUUCGCAGGAGCUUUUGAGUUUUGAUGCAAGAAAUGAUAUGAAGAUUGGAACUGAGUUUAUCGCCAUAGAUUAUUAGAGUUUGAUCCAAAGGAAGGUUGAGACGGAUGGCUUUUUCGAAACAGAGGAUAUCAACAUGAUUGGGGCUCAACCAAUCCAUGCCAAUGAUGAUAUCAAAGCUCUUUAUGGAAACUGGCAUCAAAUCAAUGGGAAAUGAAUGGUCAUUCAGGGUAAGGGUACGACCUACGAAUACCUCGCUGGCGCUUUCUUUCUCACCGUUAGCCAUCUCGACAGUAAACGUUUCAGUUAAAGGUUGGGGAUUAUGUUUUAGGUGAUGGUUUUGUUCCUAAGAACAUCCUAUGUGCUCAUACAAACCCUAAUGCUUGGAUCUAGGUUUCUCUAUUGUACAUGCAAGUUAUCCAAGACUAUAAACCCUAAUUCUACGAUUCAACUAAUCAUAUUAACAUGAGAAUAGGUUUAAGAUGUUACCUUGAUUGUUAUGUAGCAAUAACAAUCCCAAAUCUCCUUGUAUUGACUUUAGAAAACUUAGAGUCACAAAUGUCACUCCUCUAAUGGUUCACAAACACCAUAAACAAGAGGAUGAAGAGGAGAGAGGAUGAAGGCUGCCCAAAAACGUCUACAAACCCUAGAGGAGUCUUAGCCACGUUUUUGGUCAUAAGGGAUAUAUAUAGAUAUAGGAGGCUAUUAGGGUUAUCUAACAAGGAAACCCUAAUUUGGAUGCUUAAGCCCUAAGAAACCCAUAGACUCCUUUAAUUAAGGCCUUGGACGAUUUCCUUAUGGGCUUCCCCAUAGAAUUCGCCCACCCCUUAAUACAAGGCAAUCCAUGGCCCAAAUUGCAAUUAUCUUAUAAUUACAAUUCCAGUCCCUUAAGUUUAAUUAGUCUCUUUUAGUCACAAAACUAAUUACCAAUUAAUUAUUGAUUAAUAUUAAUUAAACAAUAUGAUUUCUCCUUUAAUAUAUUAUUCUCAUAAUAUAUUAAUAAAUCAUAUUUAAUCCUUUCUCUCCAUAAUUCAUCCUAUCAAGUUGCUUUGGUGAAGGCAACCCAAAAGGACCAUGCACCAUCGGGUCAAGUACAUACCAAAAUAGUUAUGGACUUAGACACUAAUCCAACAGUCUCCCACUUGGAUAAGUCUAAUAACUAUUCUGCGUAUGACUUCAGAUCCUGAUCUGCAAUCGUAGCUUUCCAAAGCCGCUGUCAACUCUGAUCCUAUCAGAUACGCGUGUCCUUAGAUAAGGGAUCAUAUAUUCCUCCAUUCUAGAUAUCAUAUGAGAUAUGAUUUCAAAUCAUUCUCUUUGUACUAUAUCUCGAUUCCCGAUUUAUGACGACUGACUAAUUGAACAAAUCAAAUUAGCCCUAGCCCGGCCGAGCAUUUACGUUUGUCAUCACUAAAUCAUCGAGGGGCCCAAAGAUAUCGCUUUUAUCCUACUUUGGAUAAAAGGAACGGAUAAACUUUGAUACAAUGCUUGCUUGCACUUACUCACCGAAUCACACACAACAAUAUGUUUUAUAACACCAAGUUACUAGUGCGUUUACAUAUUAUCAAUGUGCAACCGAUUUGCAAGAUACAACUCACACAUCUCGGUUUCAAGAAUAUAAGAUGUUAUCGUCUCACCAAUCACUCGUGAUACAAUUCAUGGAGUGAUCCAAGUGAGCGUGGGUUUAAUCCAAUGCUCAAAUCAUAUUCAUAAGCACUCAUGAACGUUGCAGCAAACAUUUGCUUAUGUCUAAUACUCUUUAGACAAUCCACACACCAAUUCACGACAGUCUUCAUUCAUACCUACUUCCAACAUAUGAACGACUGUGGCCCGUUCGAAUAAUUUGACUGUUCUUAACCAAUUAAAUUAUUCAGGAAGUCAAAACAUGCAAAGUGAAACACAAGAAUAAUACUAAUCCCAUAUGGCCUCAAACCUUUGAGUAUAAAUAAAACACCUUUUAUUUAUCACCAUAUCGAUUACUCAUUAUUUGUCGUUUCGGGUAAUCAACUUCUUACUUGAAUUAUUACACUUGUCCCAUGCUCCUAACAUGCACACAAUGUUUACCUAUGGUUCUUACUUUGUGAAAUAGACCAAAUUGAGCACAUUUCCAAUCAUUCUCAUUUCAAAACUCCAAAUUGUUUUUCACAAGUGAAAGAAUAUCAAAUUCUUGCUACUUAUAAAAUAUGUUGGAUUCUAACAUUCUAUGCAAUGAUCCUUUUGUAAUGUCACUGCNNNNNNNNNNNNNNNNNNNNNNNNNNNNNNNNNNNNNNNNNNNNNNNNNNNNNNNNNNNNNNNNNNNNNNNNNNNNNNNNNNNNNNNNNNNNNNNNNNNNUUCAAUUAGAUCAAGAAUAUAGUCAUAUAUAUCAAAAAAUUGGAUCUAUAUUGAUCUAAUAUGAUAAGGCAAGUAUCUUCAAGCAAAAAUAGCAAGAAAUCCCGGUUUUCCAUCUCAUUGACCAGCCGACUCGUCGAGUCAGGCAUGGACUCGUCGAGUUCAUCUAAAAAACUCGACGAGUUCUGACCCCAGAAGCACAAAAAUUGAAUUUCUUCAACAUACAAAGCAUCAAUACAAUAGAAACCAAUCUAGGAUCUGAUACCACUGAUGGUUUUGUUCCUAAGAACAUCCUAUGUGCUCAUACAAACCCUAAUGCUUGGAUCUAGGUUUCUCUAUUGUACAUGCAAGUUAUCCAAGACUAUAAACCCUAAUUCUAGCAUUCAACUAAUCAUAUUAACAUGAGAAUAGGUUUAAGAUGUUACCUUGUUUGUUAUGUAGCAAUAAGAAUCCCAAAUCUCCUUGUAUUGACUUUAGAAAGCUUAGAGUCACAAAUGUCACUCCUCUAAUGGUUCACAAACACCAUUAGCAAGAGGAUGAAGAGGAGAGAGGAUGGAGGCUGCCCAAAAACGUCUACAAACCCUAGAGGAGUCUUAGCCACGUUUUUGGUCAUAAGGGAUCUAUAUAUAUAGGAGGCUAUUAGGGUUAUCUGACAACGAAACCCUAAUUUGGAUGCUUAAGCCCUAAGCAACCCAUAGACUCCUUUAAUUAAGGCCUUGGACGAUUUCCUUAUGGGAUUCCCCAUAGAAUUCGUCCACCCCUUAAUACAAGGGAAUCCAUGGCCCAAAUUAUAAUUAUCUUAUAAUUACAAUUCCAGUCCCUUAAGUUUAAUUAAUCUCUUUUAGUCACAAAACUAAUUGCCAAUUAAUUAUUGACUAAUAUUAAUUAAACAAUAUGAUUUCUCCUUUAAUAUAUUAUUCUCAUAAUAUAUUAAUAAAUCAUAUUUAAUCCUUUCUCUCCAUAAUUCAUCCUAUCAAGUUGCUUUGGUGAAGGCAACCCAAAAGGACCAUGCACCAUCGGGUCAAGUANGACUUAGACACUAAUCCAACAUUAGGUUAUGUUUGAACGUAUGACUAACAAAACUCUUUUCAGCACCCGAAUCGAAAAGAAUACUAGCAUAUGAGUUGUCGAGAAGGAACGUACCCGAGACUACAGUGGGAUCGGUGACUGCUUCCUCCCAUCCUAUGGCUAGGACUCUCCCGGUAUUAU